AAACGCUGCGAGAAACCGCGGUUACUGGGAGCGCGCGCCGGCCGUUCCGUCAGGUGGGUGGGGUACGCGCGGUGGCGCGAGCUCGUCGCCGCGUGCCGGCUUGUCCCGCAGAUGCGGCGCUCGGCCCGGCCAUCCCCGCGAGCCGCGCAGACGCCCCCUCUCCUCCACUUCCGCCUAGGCUGCAGCCGAAUAAAGCUGUCCAGACUCUGCCGCCAUUAAUCCCGGGCGAUGGCGGCUGCAGCCGCGGGCUCGGGUCAGAGUGAAACAUGGACGCUUGCUUCCUCGUUGUGGGGCAUCCAUCGCAGACUAAGGAGCCUUAUAGUCGCUCUCAAGGUCACCGAGCUUGGGCGACUUAACUGGUACCCCACGGUGCCCGGUCUGCGCCCCGAUGCAGGGUAGAGCCUGCAAAGUUUGCUCAACUUUCGCUUUCCCGCCUCGCCCAAACCGCGCGCGCGGCAAAUGCGACUUGAUGAGGCUGCAUGAAAAAACAAAAAAAAAAACAAGACAAACGGUCACAGGGCUCACUUUCCCAGGAGGAGAGCAAGGUUUUGCAUAGGUUGCCUUUACGCUCUGAGCACGCAGCUCCGCCAUGCAGAUGCUAGGAGGGGCACCUGCGGCCUUUGUAAGGGCUUUGCUCUGGCUGCCAGACCUGUGGGUCUCCCUGGGCCUCUACACACAGACCCCAGGAUAGCUGAAUACCCUCGUUUGACAAGCCACAUCGUUUGCCUCCAGCUCCCAGACGUAUCCUCGGCCUGGCCCCCCUCAGGCUACUCUGAUUUAUUGGGGAGACUUAGUUGUUUCUGCUUCCAAGAAAGGUCAAAAUAUUAACCAGUUUUUCAGACACAACUCUAAUGCUUUUGUUCCCCUAAGGGAGUUGUGGUGCAGGCUACAGUUGUUAAACCUGUUUUUGUUGUGACCUUCAGAAGAUUCUAGCAAAACUUCAUUUCCUUCUAGAUCUUUUUUUUUCUUUCUGGGUUAGACAUGCCUAGUAUAGUAGUAAUGGGGCUCAUUUGAACGUCCUUUUGUCUUUUUCCUCUCCUCCCUGCCUCAUAAUCUCAGCUCUUGGCCCAAGGGAACAGGAGUCGAACUUUAUGUUCAUACAUUUAGUGAGUUCUAGGCCAGAAAGAACUUCUUGAGAUACUUUCUGAAAAACAACAAAAAAUCUGAUGUAUCUAAAUGACUUGUGAUAUUCUCUGUUCCAAAAUUUUUUGGUUUGUAAAACAAACAAGUAAUGACUACCAGGCUGGUGAGAUGGCUCAGUGGGUAAGAGCACCCGACUGCUCUUCCGAAGGUCAGGAGUUCAAAUCCCAGCAACCACGUGGUGGCUCACAACCAUCCGUAACGAGAUCAGACUGGAGUGUCUGAGGACAGCUACAGUGUACUUACAUAUAAUAAAUAAAUAAAUAAAUCUUUAAAAAAAAAAAAAAAGUAAUGACUACCUUUAAUCCCAGCACUUGGGAGGCAGAAAGCAGGUGUCUGGUCUACAUAGUUCCAGGACAGCCAGAGCUACAUAGAGAGACCCUGUCUCAAAAAAAAAAAAAAGUAAAUAAAAAUUAAAAUUUCACCAGGCGUGGUGGUGGCGCACACCUUUAGUCCCAGCACUUGGGAAAGAGACGGGCAGAUUUCUGAGUUUGAGGCCAGCCUGGUCUACAAAGUGAGUUCCAGGACAGCUGGGACUAUACAGAGAAGCCCUGUCUCGAAAAAAAAC
This 1708-nucleotide long non-coding RNA is filed under the name Mus musculus (house mouse). Its description in RNAcentral is "tumor protein p53 pathway corepressor 1". Lineage: Eukaryota; Metazoa; Chordata; Mammalia; Rodentia; Muridae. The record is from RNAcentral.